UGCCUCGUGCAAAGUCUCUGCUCCUCUC
This 28-nucleotide non-coding RNA is filed under the name Homo sapiens (human). The record is from RNAcentral. Lineage: Eukaryota; Metazoa; Chordata; Mammalia; Primates; Hominidae.